Non-coding RNA from Acanthosepion pharaonis, 114 nucleotides. The record is from the annotation of a GenBank genome assembly. Lineage: Eukaryota; Metazoa; Mollusca; Cephalopoda; Sepiida; Sepiidae.
UUACAGUCAUACCACGUUGAAACACUAGUUCCCGUACGAUCACCGAAGUUAAGCAACGUCGAGCCUGGCCAAUACCUAGAGGCAUGAGCACUUGGAAAUACCAGGUGCUGUAAG